This 314-nucleotide ribosomal RNA is filed under the name Guayaquila pallescens. Its description in RNAcentral is "partial 12S small subunit ribosomal RNA". The record is from RNAcentral. Lineage: Eukaryota; Metazoa; Arthropoda; Insecta; Hemiptera; Membracidae.
CUAGAAUAAAAGUAGUUAUAUUCUUCAUAACUCAAAGAAUUUGGCGGUUAAUAAAAGUUUUUAGAGGAACCUGUAUUUUAAUUGAUAAUCCACGAUAGUUUUUACCUAAAAUAUAUUUGUAUAUCUCUAUGGUGUAGAGAUUGUUUUUAAAAGAUAUUUUCUUUAUGUAUAAUCAUGUAUUUUAGGUCAAGGUGCAGUUUUUUUUAGGUAAAUAUGGGUUAUAUUGUUUAUAAUGUUUUGAUAAAUUAUUUAUUUUUUUAAAUAAAUUUUAAGGAUUUAAAAGUAAAUUAAAUUAAUUUAUUUUUUUGAAUAUU